GACGAACGCUGGCGGCGUGCCUAAUACAUGCAAGUAGAACGCACAGUUUAUACCGUAGCUUGCUACACCAUAGACUGUGAGUUGCGAACGGGUGAGUAACGCGUAGGUAACCUGCCUGGUAGCGGGGGAUAACUAUUGGAAACGAUAGCUAAUACCGCAUAAUAUUGAUUAUUGCAUGAUAAUUAAUUGAAAGGUGCAAUUGCACCACUACCAGAUGGACCUGCGUUGUAUUAGCUAGUAGGUGAGGUAACGGCUCACCUAGGCGACGAUACAUAGCCGAACUGAUAGGGUGAUCGGCCACACUGGGACUGAGACACGGCCCAGACUCCUACGGGAGGCAGCAGUAGGGAAUCUUCGGCAAUGGACGAAAGUCUGACCGAGCAACGCCGCGUGAGUGAAGAAGGGUGUCGGAUCGUAAAGCUCGGUUGUAAGAGAAGAACGGGUGUGAGAGUGGAAAGUUCACACUGUGACGGUAUCUGACCAGAAAGGGACGGCUAACUACGUG
This 505-nucleotide ribosomal RNA is filed under the name uncultured bacterium. RNAcentral describes it as "partial 16S ribosomal RNA". It matches the Rfam family "Bacterial small subunit ribosomal RNA", at positions 28 to 507 of the family's 1533-position model. The record is from RNAcentral.